UGGGGAAUAUUGGACAAUGGGCGAAAGCCUGAUCCAGCCAUGCCGCGUGUGUGAAGAAGGUCUUCGGAUUGUAAAGCACUUUAAGUUGGGAGGAAGGGCAGUAAAUUAAUACUUUGCUGUUUUGACGUUACCGACAGAAUAAGCACCGGCUAACUCUGUGCCAGCAGCCGCGGUAAUACAGAGGGUGCAAGCGUUAAUCGGAAUUACUGGGCGUAAAGCGCGCGUAGGUGGUUUGUUAAGUUGGAUGUGAAAUCCCCGGGCUCAACCUGGGAACUGCAUCCAAAACUGGCAAGCUAGAGUAUGGUAGAGGGUGGUGGAAUUUCCUGUGUAGCGGUGAAAUGCGUAGAUAUAGGAAGGAACACCAGUGGCGAAGGCGACCACCUGGACUGAUACUGACACUGAGGUGCGAAAGCGUGGGGAGCAAACAGGAUUAGAUACCCAUGUAGUCCCUGAGCGGGCUGGCAAGGCGCAU
Molecule: ribosomal RNA, 472 nt
Filed under: uncultured bacterium
Lineage: Bacteria
Description: bacterial SSU rRNA
Rfam family: Bacterial small subunit ribosomal RNA
Source: RNAcentral